AACGAACGCUGGCGGCAUGCCUAACACAUGCAAGUCGAACGAGACCUUCGGGUCUAGUGGCGCACGGGUGCGUAACGCGUGGGAACCUGCCCUUAGGUUCGGAAUAACUCCCCGAAAGGGGUGCUAAUACCGGAUAAUGUCUUCGGACCAAAGAUUUAUCGCCUUUGGAUGGGCCCGCGUUGGAUUAGCUAGUUGGUAGGGUAAAAGCCUACCAAGGCGACGAUCCAUAGCUGGUCUGAGAGGAUGAUCAGCCACACUGGGACUGAGACACGGCCCAGACUCAGGGGGGAGGAGGAAGGGGGAAAUAUGGAAGAGGGGGGGAAGGAGUAAUAAAACAAGGCGGGGGGAUGAAUAAAGUCGUAGGGGUUAAAAAGCUUUGUUCCCGGGGAAGAUAAGAACGGUCCGGGGAAAAAAAGCCCCGAAAACCUCGGUG
This 433-nucleotide ribosomal RNA is filed under the name uncultured bacterium. RNAcentral describes it as "partial 16S ribosomal RNA". It matches the Rfam family "Bacterial small subunit ribosomal RNA", at positions 30 to 507 of the family's 1533-position model. The record is from RNAcentral.